UACGUAGGGGGCUAGCGUUGUCCGGAAUCAUUGGGCGUAAAGAGCGUGUAGGCGGUCCGGUAAGUCCGCUGUGAAAGUCGGGGGCUCAACCCUCGAAUGCCGGUGGAUACUGUCGGGCUAGAGUGCGGAAGAGGCGAGUGGAAUUCCUGGUGUAGCGGUGAAAUGCGCAGAUAUCAGGAGGAAAACCUAUUGCGAAGGCAGCUCGCUGGGACGUUACUGACGCUGAGACGCGAAAGCGUGGGGAGCAAACAGG
RNAcentral lists this ribosomal RNA (253 nucleotides) under uncultured bacterium. RNAcentral's name for it is "partial 16S ribosomal RNA". It matches the Rfam family "Bacterial small subunit ribosomal RNA", at positions 524 to 776 of the family's 1533-position model. The record is from RNAcentral.